Molecule: ribosomal RNA, 207 nt
Filed under: uncultured bacterium
Lineage: Bacteria
Description: partial 16S ribosomal RNA
Rfam family: Bacterial small subunit ribosomal RNA
Source: RNAcentral
CGUGUAGGCGGCCUGGUAAGUCAGAUGUGAAAGCCCAGGGCUCAACCCUGGAAGUGCAUUUGAAACUGCCAAGCUUGAGUAUGGGAGAGGAGAGUGGAAUUCCCAGUGUAGAGGUGAAAUUCGUAGAUAUUGGGAGGAACACCCGUGGCGAAGGCGACUCUCUGGACCAAUACUGACGCUGAGACGCGAAAGCGUGGGGAGCAAACA